Molecule: ribosomal RNA, 360 nt
Filed under: Triticum aestivum (bread wheat)
Lineage: Eukaryota; Viridiplantae; Streptophyta; Magnoliopsida; Poales; Poaceae
Description: partial small subunit ribosomal RNA
Source: RNAcentral
AUGACUAGGGAUAACCUUAGGAAGAGACACAUCAUCAAACCCCUUGAUUGUGUUUACUGCUUGCAACAAGAGUCUUGUUCUCACCUAUUUUUUGAAUGUAUAGUUGCUAAACAUCUCUGGGCCCACAUUGAGGAAUAUUUCUCUAGUCAGAUUGGCUCAUCCUUCGAAUCUGUCGCCAGAUUCUGGAUUGCUACCAAAAAGUGCUCAGUUUUAAACACUGUUAGCUCAGUUGUCCUUUGGUGCCUCUGGAAAUAUUGAAAUGCUAUGAUUUUCAGUAACACCUCCUGGAUUUCCAUUCCGAAGGUCUUGAGGUUGAUCAGGAACAUGGUGACGAACUGGGCGAUUCUCUCCUCCGGAUAG